Molecule: transfer RNA, 87 nt
Filed under: Oligoflexia bacterium
Lineage: Bacteria; Pseudomonadati; Bdellovibrionota; Oligoflexia
Description: tRNA-Leu
Rfam family: tRNA
About the family: Transfer RNA (tRNA) molecules are approximately 80 nucleotides in length. Their secondary structure includes four short double-helical elements and three loops (D, anti-codon, and T loops). Further hydrogen bonds mediate the characteristic L-shaped molecular structure. tRNAs have two regions of fundamental functional importance: the anti-codon, which is responsible for specific mRNA codon recognition, and the 3' end, to which the tRNAs corresponding amino acid is attached (by aminoacyl-tRNA synthetases). tRNAs cope with the degeneracy of the genetic code in two manners: having more than one tRNA (with a specific anti-codon) for a particular amino acid; and 'wobble' base-pairing, i.e. permitting non-standard base-pairing at the 3rd anti-codon position.
Source: RNAcentral
GGUCCCCUGGUGGAAUUGGUAGACACAAGGGACUUAAAAUCCCUCGGGCGUAAGCCUGUGCCGGUUCGAUUCCGGCGGGGACCACCA